UUGCGGUUAAAAAGUUCGUAGUUGGACUCUGUCGAAGGCGAGGGGUCCAUCCUUUGGGUGUGCAUCUUUCUCGGCUUGGGCAUCAUCUUGAAAAACACUGCUGCAAUUGACUUUGUGGCGCGGCAUACAGGACGUUUACUUUGAGGAAAUUAGAGUGCUCCAAGCAGGCACAGGCCAACAUACACUAGCAUGGAAUAACAAAAAUGAACCUCGGAUCUAUUUUGUUGGUUUCUAGGGCUAAGGUUUUGACCAACAGGGACAGCUGGGGGCAUUCGUACUUAACUGUCAGAGGUGAAAUUCUUGGAUUUGUUAAAGACGGCCUACUGCGAAAGCAUUUGCCAAAUGUGUUUUCAUUGAUCAAGAACGAAAGUUAGGGGAUCGAAGACGAUCAGAUACCGUCCUAGUCUUAACCAUAAACAAUGCCGACUAGAAAUCGGAGGUCGUUAAUUGGACGACUCCUUCAGCACCUUUGGAGAAAUCAAAGUUUUUGGGUUCCGGGGGGAGUAUGGUCGCAAGGCUGAAACUUAAAGGAAUUGACGGAAGGGCACCACCAGGAGUGGAGCCUGCGGCUUAAUUUGACUCAACACGGGGAAAACUUACCAGGUCCAGACAUAGCCCAGGAUUGACAGAUUGACAGCUCUU
This 642-nucleotide ribosomal RNA is filed under the name uncultured marine eukaryote. RNAcentral describes it as "bacterial SSU rRNA". It matches the Rfam family "Eukaryotic small subunit ribosomal RNA", at positions 613 to 1259 of the family's 1831-position model. The record is from RNAcentral.